Molecule: transfer RNA, 96 nt
Filed under: Actinoplanes palleronii
Lineage: Bacteria; Bacillati; Actinomycetota; Actinomycetes; Micromonosporales; Micromonosporaceae
Description: tRNA-Arg
Source: RNAcentral
GUGACGUUGGCGUAGCGGACCCAGUCGGCGGCUUCCUGUGCCGUACCGGUGCCGUAGUUCGCGAUGAUCAUCGGUUCGGCGCCGGUACGCCGCGCC